Molecule: transfer RNA, 76 nt
Filed under: Clostridiales bacterium
Lineage: Bacteria; Bacillati; Bacillota; Clostridia; Eubacteriales
Description: tRNA-Val
Rfam family: tRNA
About the family: Transfer RNA (tRNA) molecules are approximately 80 nucleotides in length. Their secondary structure includes four short double-helical elements and three loops (D, anti-codon, and T loops). Further hydrogen bonds mediate the characteristic L-shaped molecular structure. tRNAs have two regions of fundamental functional importance: the anti-codon, which is responsible for specific mRNA codon recognition, and the 3' end, to which the tRNAs corresponding amino acid is attached (by aminoacyl-tRNA synthetases). tRNAs cope with the degeneracy of the genetic code in two manners: having more than one tRNA (with a specific anti-codon) for a particular amino acid; and 'wobble' base-pairing, i.e. permitting non-standard base-pairing at the 3rd anti-codon position.
Source: RNAcentral
GGGAGCAUAGCUCAGCUGGGAGAGCACCUGCCUUACAAGCAGGGGGUCACUGGUUCGAACCCAGUUGUUCCCACCA